Oxyura jamaicensis (ruddy duck) is the source of this 904-nucleotide long non-coding RNA. RefSeq lists it as uncharacterized. The record is from RefSeq and is a predicted model, not a curated record. NCBI's taxonomy places the organism in Eukaryota, Metazoa, Chordata, Aves, Anseriformes, Anatidae. The transcript has 2 exons.
UUGCUGGCUCUCUGUAACGACGCCAGGGUUUCCUGCUUCCACAUCCUCAGCUGCUGCACAGGAAUGGUGUCUCUGCUGAAAUGGUGUGUGAUGUAUCAUCUCUAACGAUAACAUCCUAAUGACAACAGUAAUGAUAUAUUUUUUUCAUGGUGGACAUUCCAGAGAAGGGAUUCAGAAGCAGCAAGCUGGACUGUCUCCAAUUGACUCAAGCUUCGUUCUUGGUGUUAAGGACAAGAGUGGGAAAACUGGUGAAGUGACAGGCUGGUCAGUGGUGAUGGACUGACUGCCUUUUAACUGGCAUCUGAAAUGAGCUGGACUACUCUGCUUUUCUCUCUCUGCAGAGCUUCAUUGAGAUGAGAGAAGAGCUGAGAUGCCUCUGAUGGUUUAUAUGGUUUUUGAGCACGUUGGAUAUUCACGGGGUGUGAGGAGAGCGCCAGGCUUAGGGCUUUGGUAGCAGAGGAGCUGAAUAACUCUGUGAGAAGCACUAGAAACACAGACACUUACUGCCCUGGUGGCGCUGGAAACCCUUCAUGGUUCCUGCUGAGUUGAGGUGCCUCAUCAGCCUCCUCUCCUCUCCAUUUGUGAUCCUGCUCAUGCCUGAAUCAAAUCCUGCUGUUACUCAUACUAGAAGAUGAAGAACUCUUGUGGUAUUUGGCUGUGCUGACAGGUAUUCAGUGAACAUGCUUGUGAUGAAAAAUGGUGGAAAUAAACCCAAGACUUGACUCUCUGCAUAACACCUCCCAAAUUUUCAGAGCUAUCAUCGGUUCAAAACCUAAAAUCUCUUCUUUAUUUUGCAAGGAAUUCAGUUAUAGGGAACAACUGCCUGCAAGAAAAAAAACAAGUCCAGCCUUGUCAGCACAGCCACGUGCAAUAUAUAGACUGACCAAAAAUGCUGGUAAAAAAA